This 242-nucleotide ribosomal RNA is filed under the name uncultured bacterium. Its description in RNAcentral is "partial 16S ribosomal RNA". It matches the Rfam family "Bacterial small subunit ribosomal RNA", at positions 88 to 334 of the family's 1533-position model. The record is from RNAcentral.
CUGACGAGUGGCGAACGGGUGAGUAACACAUCGGAACGUGCCUAGUAUGGGGGAUAACUACUCGAAAGAGUAGCUAAUACCGCAUGAGAUCUAAGGAUGAAAGCAGGGGACCUUCGGGCCUUGCGCUACUAGAGCGGCUGAUGGCAGAUUAGGUAGUUGGUGGGAUAAAAGCUUACCAAGCCGACGAUCUGUAGCUGGUCUGAGAGGACGACCAGCCACACUGGGACUGAGACACGGCCCAG